RNAcentral lists this ribosomal RNA (159 nucleotides) under Australiaena streimannii. RNAcentral describes it as "5.8S ribosomal RNA". It matches the Rfam family "5.8S ribosomal RNA". Rfam says of the family: 5.8S ribosomal RNA (5.8S rRNA) is a component of the large subunit of the eukaryotic ribosome. The record is from RNAcentral. Lineage: Eukaryota; Fungi; Ascomycota; Lecanoromycetes; Caliciales; Physciaceae.
AAAACUUUCAACAACGGAUCUCUUGGUUCUGGCAUCGAUGAAGAACGUGGCGAAAUGCGAUAAGUAAUGCGAAUUGCAGAAUUCAGUGAAUCAUCGAAUCUUUGAACGCACAUUGCGCCCUUCGGCAUUCCGGGGGGCAUGCCUGUCCGAGCGUCAUUA